CGGACGGGUGAGUAAUGCCUAGGAAUCUGCCUGGUAGUGGGGGACAACGUUUCGAAAGGAACGCUAAUACCGCAUACGUCCUACGGGAGAAAGCAGGGGACCUUCGGGCCUUGCGCUAUCAGAUGAGCCUAGGUCGGAUUAGCUAGUUGGUGAGGUAAUGGCUCACCAAGGCGACGAUCCGUAACUGGUCUGAGAGGAUGAUCAGUCACACUGAACUGAGACACGGUCCAGACUCCUACGGGAGGCAGCAGAC
RNAcentral lists this ribosomal RNA (253 nucleotides) under uncultured Pseudomonas sp. Its description in RNAcentral is "partial 16S ribosomal RNA". It matches the Rfam family "Bacterial small subunit ribosomal RNA", at positions 99 to 354 of the family's 1533-position model. Lineage: Bacteria; Pseudomonadati; Pseudomonadota; Gammaproteobacteria; Pseudomonadales; Pseudomonadaceae. The record is from RNAcentral.